CCUUUUCACCGUGAACAGGCGCGCGGGGUUCUUUUUCUCUUGGGAAGUUGAAAUUACAUUUCCCAAGGGGAAAAAAAACCGGGAGCUUGGGGCUGCGGCCUCCUGCUCGCGGUUUGCGAACCCCGCACGCCUCUUCGCCAUCCACCCUCUUUUACGAGCACCUUUCCUUCUUCCUCGGCGGGGCGACCCGCCGGCGGAACCAUACACGAACUCUUAUGCAUCUAAGAAGUACUGUUCUGAUAAACCAAAAUCGUUA
This 256-nucleotide unclassified non-coding RNA is filed under the name uncultured fungus. RNAcentral describes it as "sequence contains ITS1". Lineage: Eukaryota; Fungi. The record is from RNAcentral.